GCUGGCGUGGCGCAAUUGGCAGCGCACCUGAUUUGUAAUCAGGGGGUUGGGGGUUCGAGUCCCCCCGCCAGCUCCA
RNAcentral lists this transfer RNA (76 nucleotides) under Actinobacteria bacterium HGW-Actinobacteria-7. RNAcentral's name for it is "tRNA-Thr". It matches the Rfam family "tRNA". From Rfam's summary of the family: Transfer RNA (tRNA) molecules are approximately 80 nucleotides in length. Their secondary structure includes four short double-helical elements and three loops (D, anti-codon, and T loops). Lineage: Bacteria; Bacillati; Actinomycetota. RNAcentral also lists the same sequence under 1 other name. The record is from RNAcentral.